UCGCUUCUUGUGGUCCCUUCGCCAACCUCCCCCAAAGGGUAAAGUGAUUACAAGCGACUAUGAAAAUAUUGAGCAAGUUCUACCAGAAGGAUUUUUACAUCGGACGGCUAGAAUUGGAAAGGUGAUUGGAUGGGCUCCACAAAUAGCGGUUUUAGCCCACUCAGCUGUUGAAGGAUUUGUAUCUCAUUGUGGAUGGAAUUCUUUACUAGAAAGCAUAUGGUAUCGUGUUCCAGUAGCCACAUGGCCAAUAUAUGCAGAAUAACAAAUCAACGCAUUUCAAAUGGUGAAAGAUUUGGGGUUGACGGUAAAAAUUAAAAUUGAUUACAAUAAGGAUCAUGAUCAUAUUGUAAGUGCUCAUUGUAGGGACCCCUCCCCUUGGGAAACACGUGGCACGCGGCUCAUGGUGACGCGUGGCACGUACUAUCGGCCGGACCAUCAUCAUCCGGAUUCCCCUACAGAUAUGUAUGGUGCGGCUAUCCUAUCCGGAACCCCAAAGGAAAGACAAACAACGUUUCAGCUUCUCCUAUCCAAGGAAGAGCAAACGACGCUGGCAGAGCGUAGACACCCGGAUAGUCUCCACAAACACAUCCGGAUAUUCAGCAUGAUCCAUCCGGAUAUAAAUCGUCUGGAUGAUCAAUUAAAGUAAAGCGAGUCUUACACGCAAUCACAACAAGCAGCCAUGGCCCACAUCCCAUCACCUGCAGAAUGAGAAGACAAGAGGAAGUGACAGCAAGUCACUUCCCACGAUCAUUCUACAUAAUCGCUUCCCACGAUCUCUGACAGCCGCAUCAUCUACCAUGGUCUCUGACAGCCAUUCGUAGGAUGAUAGUGCUCCUACUAACACCUAUUGUCAUCAUCACAACAGAAAAUAUCUCCCCACCAUUAAUGAGAGGAACAGUACCCCUGAAGCUGUAUAUAUAUGACUUCACACGAAGAAGAAAGGGAUGAUCUCCUAGUAACCUCUUGAUACCUAGUAAAAGGCCAACUGCCUCAUAUAUCUUAUUCUCUUACUAUGGCUAACAACAUCAUCGGAGGGUGCAUCCGGACACCCUGUCCGGAUGCCUUUUUGCAGGUACAACCACUGAAUCAAGAACCCCUUGUGUGUUGAGAAUCGCGUGUCCAUCCAUCUAGCAGCAACGCGGCCCACCUGAUACGCGAGGUGACAACACUCAUGAGAUUGAAAAUGGAUUAAGGAACCUAAUGAAUACCAACAGUGAAGUGAGGCUGAGGCAAAAGAAGAAAGAAAUGCAAAAAAUAAGUAGAAGAGUCAUGAUAGAUGGUGGGUCCUCGCACUUUUCUUUAGGCCAUUUUAUUGAAGACAUGGUGGCCAACAUUUCAUACAAGCAACAAAGUCGUGAUACCUAUUGUAUGAAUUAUUUUGUACUAGUAUGAAAGGAAAAGGUGCAUUGUAGGCUCUAAUAAAUUAAUUUAUCAUAUGCUUUAUUUUAAUGCUCAAAUAAUUUCUUUGAUAAAGUCAAGAAAUUUGACCUUUCAAACUAGGAAAUGUGUUAUCUCUUUAUUAUUUAGUAAAACAAGUUUACAAGUGAAUGAAUUUAGUAAUAUGUCGAUCUCAUUGAUCAAUGAAUACACAAUUGAACAUUUUCCGGUACUAGUAAUAAAAUUAACUAUAUAAUUACAAAUCAACAAACCCUAUUGGUUUGAGACAAUCUUCAUAAGUGUUUUUUCUAAAUAUUUUUUAUAUUCUUAUGUGAUUGAAUAUAUUUUGGAUUAUGACUUAUAUAAUUUCUCACAUUCUAAUCAAAAGCAAUAAUUAAAUCUCAAUAAUCAACCUAUAUGAUAACGGAAUCAGUUUAAAUAGGUUUAAAAGUUACUAAUUUAAUAUAUCCUAUUUAUGUACAAAAAAAUUGUGAGUAUUGUCCCGAAAUAUGUUUCUAAUAUCAACAUAACAUUUCUUCCUCAUUUUGUUUGGCUAAUGAAAAGCCAUUAGAAAAAAAAUAUAUAGAUAUUUGAUUAAAAUGAUUAAAAUAGUCUCUAAUUCGAACAAUGCUCUUUUUUUUAAAAAAAAAUAUCGAAAAUGAUAAUAUUUUUUUAAUAAAAAUAUCAUUCAUUUAUGUUAAAGCAAUUUGAAAAAAAGAUAUUUUUAUUCACUUAUAUUUUUUAUUAAUAAAAAUAUCAUUCAUUUAUGUCAAAGCAUUUUAUUUAUUUAUAAGUAUUAAGAUAUUUUUAUUCAUUUAUAAUUUUUAUUUAGAACUUUAAACCAAUAGAAGAUGGCUUUACAAAUUUUGGCCCAAAGAUCCCCAAGAACUUUAUUUGAAAGGUGUAGCAUAUUCGAACCCUUCGUCCAGGGAACAUGAAUCAUAAUUUCGUUGCUGGUUUUAUAUUAAAAUACAUGGGAUACAUCGAGAACCACCCACUUUUGCCUCAAUCUUCAACCAAGACCAACCACAAUCAUACAAAAACGAUAAGGAAAAUAAAUUGAACCAGCAAAGCCCUGACAUCACUUCCUUUGUCCUCCAAUACUAUCCAGCCACAAGUAUAAGAGUGUCACACCACUGCAAAGCCCUCAAAACAUCCCAUUUUUCCUCUCUUUGCAGUAACUGCUAGUUAGUGAUGGAGCAAACUGAGCUGGUCUUCAUCCCAUUUCCUAUCAUCGGCCACCUUACGUCUGCACUGGAGAUUGCAAAGCUGAUUACUCAGCGAGACCCCCGAUUCUCAAUCACGAUCAUCAUCAUGAAGUUUCCGUUUGAGUCCAUUGAUGGUAUGGACACGGACUCUGAUUCCAUACGUUUCGUUACACUUCCUCCUGUAGAGGUCUGCUCCAGUACGACGCCGUCUGGUUUCUUCCUCUCUGAAUUCCUCAAAGCUCACAUCCCAGUCGUCAGAGACGCCAUCCACGAGCUCACUCGCUCCAACUCGGUUCGUCUCGCAGGGUUCGUUAUUGAUAUGUUCUGCACCCACAUGAUCGAUGUGGCCGAUGAGUUUGGGGUGCCUUCCUAUCUCUUCUUCACUUCCAGCGCUGCUUUUCUUGGCUUCCUGUUGCAUCUUCAGUUCCUCCAUGAUUAUGAGGGCUUGGAUUUCAAUAAGUUCAAGGACUCGGAUGCUGAGUUGGAUGUUCCGAGUUUCGCGAACUCAGUUCCGGGUAAGGUCUUCCCUUCUCGGAUGUUUGACAAGGAAGGCGGAGGGGCUGAGACGCUUCUUUAUCACACGAGGAGAUUCAGAGAAGUCAAAGGUAUUCUGGUAAAUACAUUUAUUGAGCUUGAAUUACAUGCUGUUCGAUCACUUUCUGACAGUACAGUACCCGAGGUGUAUCCCGUUGGACCCAUACUCAACACCCGAAUGGGAUCUGGUGGGUGUCAACAAGAUGCUAGUGCCAUCAUGAGCUGGCUUGAUGAUCAGCCUCCAUCGUCAGUUGUUUUCCUGUGCUUCGGGAGCAGGGGAACCUUUGGUGCGGAACAGAUCAAGGAGAUAGCGUAUGGGCUAGAGCACAGUGGGCAUCGCUUCUUGUGGUCCCUUCGCCAACCUCCCCCAAAGGGUAAAAUGGAUUUUCCAAGCGACUAUGAAAGUAUUGAGGAAGUUCUACCAGAAGGAUUUUUACAUCGGACAGCUAGAAUUGGAAAGGUGAUUGGAUGGGCUCCACAAGCAGCGGUUUUAUCCCACUCAGCUGUUGGAGGAUUUGUAUCUCAUUGUGGAUGGAAUUCUUUGCUAGAAAGCGUAUGGUAUGGUGUUCCUGUGGCCACUUGGCCAAUCUAUGCAGAGCAACAAAUCAACGCAUUUCAAAUGGUGAAAGAUUUGGGGUUGGCCACAGAAAUUAAAAUAGAUUACAAUAAGGAUAAUGAUUAUGUUGUAAGUGCUCAUGAGAUUGAAAAUGGAUUGAGGAACCUAAUGAAUAUUGAUAGUGAAGUGAGGCAAAAGAGGAAAGAAAUGCAAAAAAUAAGUAGAAGAGUCAUGAUAGAUGGUGGGUCCUCGCACUUUUCUUUAGGCCAUUUUAUUGAAGACAUGGUGGCUAACAUUCCAUGCAAGCAACAAAGACGUGAUACCUAAUGUAUGAAUUAGUUUAUACUAAUAUGAAAUAAAAAGGUGCAUUGUAGGCUCUAAUAAAUUAAUUUAUCAUCUCCUUUAUUUGAAUGCUCAAAUAUUUCUUUGAUGAUGUCAAGAAAUUUGACCUUUCAAACUAGGAAAUGUGUUCUUUCUUUAUUAUUUAGUGAAACAAGUUUACAAGGGCAUGAAUUUAGUUAUAUGUGGAUCUCAUUGAUCAAUGAAUACACACUUGAGCAUUUUCCUGUAGGAAGCUGGACUAGUGAUAAAAUCAACUACAUAACUAAAAAUCCACAAACCCUAUUGAAUUUGGUUUGAUGGGGAUGAAUAGAUAUAAGAAUUUUUAUAAGAAUUUGUUCAAUUGGAUCACUAUUAAUUUGAUGCUUGCCUUCAGAUUAGAGACAACUAUCCACUUGAGAAAUUUAAUUAAUUUCUGGGCAGUGUUUAUCUUCUUUUCUACAAGCAUGAUGCUCGAAGAGCAAAUUAAUGUUCUCAAACUAUUUGGUGUGUUGGUAUGGAUUUAAGAAACUAACGUCUCAUCAAUGCAUAUCAAGGCAUCUACGCAUGUGAGAGAUCAAUAGAUUCAAAAUGAUUCUAAUUGGAGCAUUUUUUAAUUAAGAGGUAGCUACCUUGAGUCUUGUGAGAAAGAAAAUAAUUAGAUGAAGAAGGUAAUUGGUAUGGAGAUGAGGAUUUAGAAUUAUAAGUUCUUUAGAUUUGAUUAUGGAGAGAGUUGAGAGAAUAUAAUUUUUUUUUUUAUAAGAAAAUUACUAAGAGAUGUGAAAAAAGUCUUUAAAAAAAUGAUAAUAAUAAUUUAAACACAAAAAUGAUUAUGUAUAUAGUAUUGAAUUAUGAAUUUGUCCUUUCCUUUCUUUUAAUGAAAAAUAAAUACAUAUGGAAAUUGAUAAUUGAAGUUGUUAUUCAAUCAUCUAAAGAUUAGCUUAGAUGGAAUAUAUUGUAAUGAUCUACUCCUAAUCGUGUAAAUAUUGUUUACUUUGAAUCCAACCUAUCAUAUCCCAUAAGAUUAGGGUGGUCAAACAAAUUCUCACACUGGGGGGUCAAGGAUCAACUUUAAUACUAUUUGUAAUGGCUCACUCCCAACAGUAUAGAUAUUAUCCUCCCAACUGUAAAUAUUGUUCAUUCUAAACCCAAAAAUCUCUCACAGCUUUAAAACGUGUGUAUAAAAUUAAAAGGAGCUUAUACAUAUAUGAUGUCAGGAUUUUUUUUCCUCAUUUGAUGAAAGAUGCCACAUGUAUUCCCUCAAAAUACUGAUUCCAAUUAGAUGUGAAGAGGAACCAUUUAGUAUUAGAAAGAAAAGAAAUACAUAGAUGGUAAUAUGUAUUAUUUCUAUUCCUUAGUCUUGUUGCAAGGACACUCAUUGCUAUAUAAUAUAUAUAUAUAUAUAUAUAUAUAUAUAUAUAUAUUUAAAGAACUUUGAAAAUUAAUUUUGUUAUAUACAAAAUUAACUUAUAAUUAAAAUAAAAUCAUUUAUAAUACAAAUAUUGGAUUGAUAAAUAAUUAUAUAAGUAAUUAUCUUAAUUUAGCUCAAUUUUAAGUCUUAAAAUACAGAUUCGAAAUAUAUUAAAUAAAAUAAAAUUUCACUUAAAUCUUACAUGGAUAAAUAGAAAUAAUAACUUCUAUACAAAAAAUAAAAAAUUUUAUAGAAAAAAUUGAAAGCUUAUCUUAUUUUCUUUCUACAACUAAAAUUCGAGUGAACAAAAAACUAUUAACUUCAAAUUUUUAAGCUAUUUUAAGAUAAAUCUCUAUUAUUUACCUAAGAACUCAUACUAUCUUUAAUUUUCAAAAAUAAAAAUAUAUCCAAAUGUGCACCUAAAUUUUGUAGAAAAUGAACCUUGAGCAAACUCUCCUAAUCACGUUAUUUUAUCAUUUACCCAAAGAUUUAUGCUUAUCAAAAAUCAAUCAACCACAUUGAGAAUUGAUAAUUUUAGCUAGCUAGUAACAUGUGCAAUCAGAAGAAAGUCAAUGAAGAGUACAUAUAUUCACAUCUCUUCUUUUCUGAAUUCCUCAAAAGACAUCAUCCAUGAGCUCAUUAAUCACACCCAUAAAACAAUGAACAAGAAGAGACCAAGAAAAUAUCAUAUUGUAGGCGCAUCGCCAAAAGGUUUGUUGAAAUAACUUAUACCUUCACCCUCUGAGCUCUAGAAUAGUGUCGAAAAGAACAACCUAAUCUUUCUUUCUUUUUUCUGAACUACUUUUUACCAAGAUCCCAAAGCCUUAGAUGCUAUUUAUAUUUGGACUUGGAGAAUACUUAAAAAUAAAUAGCCCAACUAUGGGCUUAGAGAACUUUUCAAGGGUUGGAUAAACAUAGCUCAACAAAAUUAGCUUAAAAUAACCUUUAAAAUUACCCAUUCAAGACCUAUCAAAUCAAAAGAAAAUUAAAAUAAAAACUUUUGGAAACCUUUUCUAUGCAAAAAUUUCAAAAAAAAAAUAUUAUAUAAAAAAUUGAAAACUUAUCUUAUAUGCUUUCGAUAACUUAAAUUUUGAGAGAACAAAAAACUGUAAAAUUCAAAAUUUUCAUCUAUUUUUCAAAACAUUUGUUUUUAAGAUAAAUCUCUAUUAUUUAUAUAACAACUUAUACUAUCUUUUAUUUUCAAAAAUAAAAAAUUUAUUCAAAGUCCACUUAAAUUUUGUUGAUAAUGAACCUUGAGCAAACUCUCAUGGUCACAUUAUUUAAUCAUUUACCUAAAGAUUUAUGCUUAAAGAAAAUCAAUCAACCACAUUCAGAAUUGAUAAUUCUAAGUAGUUAGUAACACAUGGAGUCACAAUUCCAUACAACAAAUACAUAUAUAUAGAAAAAUUUGAAAUCUUAUCUUAUAUGCUCUUUAUAACUAAAAUUUCGAGUGAACCAAAAAUUUUUAAAUUCAAAAUUUUAAGCUAUUUAAAAGUUGUUUAUGUUUAAGAUAAAUCUCUAUUAUUCAUAUAAGAACUCAUACUAUCUUUUUAUUUUCAAAAAUAAAAAAUGUUUUGAAAGUCCACUUAAAUUUUGUAGAAAAUGAACCUUGAACAAACUCUCUUAAUCAAAUUAUUUUAUCAUUUACCUAAAGAUUUAUACUUAUAAAAAACCAAUUAACCGCAUCGAGAAAUGAUAAUUCUGGAUAGCUAGUAACACAUGGAAUCACAAGAAAGAUGAUGAAGAUUAUGUAUAUUAAUUAUGGUCUCUUCUUUUCUGAAUUCCUCACAACUCACAUCAAUUGGUCUUUGAUGUUGUCCGUGAGCUCACUUGUCACACCCAUAAAACAAUAAAUAGGAAGAGAUCAAGAAGAUCAUACCACAAGGGCUUCCCUAAAAGAUUGAUGAAAGAACUUAUACCUUCACCCUUUGAGCUCCAAAACAAUGCCCAAAAACCAACCUAAUCUUUUUUUUUUCCCUUUUUCUGAACUAUUUCAUCAAGAUUCAAAAGCCCUAGAUGUUAUUUAUAUUUGAACAUAGAGAAUACCUAAAAUAAACAAUCCAACGCAUGGGCGGGAUAAACUUAGCUCAAUAAAUUUAGCUUAAUAUUAACCCUUAAAGUUACCCAUUCAUGGUCUAUUAAUGAAUAUAAAUAAAAUUUUUUGAAAACCUUUUCAAUACAAAAAUAAAAGAUUUGAUAACAAAAAUUGAAAACUCACCUUAUAUGCUUUCUAUAACUGAAAUUUCGAGUGAACAAAAACUAUUAACUUCAACUUUUUCAGCUAUUUUUAAAAUUAUUUAUUUUUAAUAUAAAUCUCUAUUAUUUAUAUAAACACUCGUACUAUCUUUUAUUUUCAAAAAUGAAAAAUAUACUCAAAGUCCAAUUAAAUUUUGUAGAAAAUGAAUCUUGAGCAAACUCUCUCGACCACGUUAUUUUAUUAUUUACCUAAACAUGCUUAUCAAAAAUUAAUCAACCAUGUUGAGAAUUGAUAAUUUUGGGUAGCUAGUAACACAUGGAAUCAUAAGAAAGUUGAUGAAGUUGUUUUCCUCUCUAAAGUCCUAAAAGCUCACAUGCCACUCAUCUCUGAUGUUGUCCAUGAGCUCACUCGUCACACCCAUAAAACAAUAAACAAGAAGAGAUAAGGAAGAUCAUACCGCAAUGACUUUCACAAAAGGUUGAUGAAAUAACUUAUACCUUCACCCUCUGAGCUCUAGAAUAGUGUCAAAAAGAACAACCUAAUCUUUCUUUCCUUUUUCUGAACUACUUUUUGCCAAGAUCCCAAAGCCUUAGAUGCUAUUUAUAUUUGGACUUAGAGAAUACUUAAAAAUAAAUAGCCCAACUAUGGGCUUAGAGAAUUUUUCAAGGGUUGGAUAAACAUAGCUCAACAAAAUUAGCUUAAAAUAACCUUUAAAAUUACCCAUUCAAGAUCUAUCAAAUCAAAAGAAAAAUAAAAUAAAACUUUUGGAAACCUUUUCUAUGCAAAAAAUUCAAAAAAAAAAAUUAUAUAAAAAAUUGAAAACUUAUCUUAUAUGCUUUCUAUAACUGAAAUUUUGAGUGAACAAAAAACUGUAAAAUACAAAAUUUUCAUCUAUUUUUCAUAACAUUUUGUGGACCCCGCAUUUCGAUUGCUCGAUGCGUUUCCCACUGGAUGGCGAGCUCGAUUUUUAUUUUUAUUUGAAAAAUUGAUUUUUAUUGAUUAUUUGAAAAUGACUUGGAGUCGCCACUUAUUUUUGUUUUAUUUUUAAAAGGGUAAACAAAAUAAGAAAGAAAGACCCUAAAUGUGACUCCAUAUUUUGGAAAAGACGGUCUGCGAAAAACCGGAUCGGGUUCGGGGGUCAGGUUACUUGUCGGGAAGGUACGGUAAAGACCGUAGCACCCCUCUAAGCCCCUAAAAUAGGUCUCUACUAAUAAAAUGAAGCAGACAUGACAAUCGAUUAGGCAAAACAGUGAAUACUCGGAACUAUCAUGCACAUAUGAGAAUCAGAAUAUGAAUAGCGAAUGAUCAGAAUGAGUGAAUACGUACCUGGGCAGCAAACAGCAAUGCGCUAUCAUGGAAUGGGGUUAGUGAAUAAACACAGAAUGAUUAUAUACAUAUCAUGGAAUAUAGCAAAACGAUCAUGCGUGGUAAAUAAAUCAAUCAAGCGAUCAAUCAGUCAUGAAUUCACAUAUGUAGGGCCCCCACCAAAGCCCGAUCAAUCUUGCAUGAAUUAAUCUCACAAAUUCCAUUAUUCUGAAAUUAUGAAAGUGACAUUCACGCUUAUAUAAAACCAAGAGGAACAUGAGAUUACUUGAAAACCGGAAUGGAAUUAAAACUGUUCAAGUGAAGACUGGAUUUUUGAAAUUUGUUUGAAAAUUGGAGUAUCGAAAAUUAUUUGGAAAUUGGAGUUUUGGAAAUUAAAUUUAAGAAUUGGAAUUUUAGGGAUUAAAUUCGAAUGAAAACAUAAUUUUGAAAAUUAUUUGGGAAGUAGAAACCAUGAAAGUUAAUUUAUAAAAAAAACAAAUUAUGAAAAUUGGGACUUUGGAAAUUAAAUUUUGAAAGAAAUUAGAAUUAAAAAUUAUUUAAAAUUUUGAAAAUUUGGAAAACUUAUUCAAUAAUAAAGAAACUUAGAAAUUUGAGGAAUUAAUUAAAAAUUGUUUUAAGACAUCCCUAAAGAAAGAAAAAAAAAAAUGGAAUAAAAAAUUUUAUUUGAGAGAUUGAAUCUUAUUGGCGUAAAAGAAAUAUCCAAAUUUUUCAUGCAUCAAGAAAUUAGGUGGGGCCACAUCUCCAAGUUUUUCUACUUAUGGAAAUAUCUCACAAUAUGGCACAUGGCAUGGAAGGAAAACACACGGCCAUGCAAUGAGGGUGGUUGGGCAUAAAGUGGUCAAAAGGUCAUCCAUAUGGGACCCAUGAUCAUGCUUAAAUAUUAAACAUUAUUCCAAAUAAACCAAGGCAGUAUGCCUUUUCAACUGUGUACGCUACCUCCCACUAACUCCCAGAACUUCAAGAAGCUCCUGACUCCUCAGUCAGCCCAUCGCGUCUUAGAAACCCAUGAAAACUACACUGCCCAAUUGUAAAACAGCUAAACAUACUUUCUAGAGCUUCAUCUUCUAUUUGGAUUAAUUUUAAUGGCAUCACUCAGCGAAGGGGACCAUCCUAUGAACCCCGAUACCACUAGCAUACUCUUCUUGGGGCCUCUUAAUUCAGAACCAAAUUCAGAUAUAGAGACCCCCUGCCUGGGCAUGAUAUACUCAUAUGGGAUAAGGUUCAUUCCACCCCUGACAGCUGUCACCACGACACACUUGGCAAUGGUGUGAAAUGCAGCUUUCUCACUAAGAUAAAAUGACCUAUCAAUAAAUACAAUCGGGUCAUAAUCUGGCUGCCCAAAACUUUCAUUAAUUCUCUUACAGCUUUCCUGGAUUUCAGCCUGUACCACCUCGAGAUCUCUCCCAAAAACAUUUCCUCUAGCAGAAAUGAAACAGAAAACCCAUGAGCGCAUCUCCUUCUCUGCUUCUCCUCUGUUUCUCAAGUUCAGCAACCAUAUCUCCCCAUCUGCUUCUCUCUCUCAUUUUCUUACUUAGCUCAUUUCCAUUUCCGUCAAUACUCUAGAUCAAACAGCUCACCAAGCACAACACAAAUAUAGGAAUAACAGCAGAGACAUAGCCAGGGUGAACAACAGGUGUUAAACAAAUAUGGGAAGGUAAAACAUAUGAUGAUACAGAGUUCCACUUCAGGUGACAUCCAUGGGCUCGAAAUAGGUGAGAUUAACGUAUCAAAGAAAACUCAAAAACAGUUCAUGCAUUCAGAGGACUGAGUUCAACCAAAGCAAACAAAAUAUUGUCUAGAACUAGAGCUAAAAAUGUCAAGAGGAUAGGAGAAUAAUGGAAAAUGUAAGACUUAUAGUUCAUACCUGUAAAUGGAUUCCCUACCAGCAAGACUAGUUAGGCUUCUAGCUCUUUUCUAAAGCUCCCUCUCUUCCCUUUGCUGUCCGCCUUGGUUCCUCCUUCUCUCAACUUCUCUCCGUAGCCUAAGCUCCAGGAAUACCCUCCAGAAAAAUCCUCUCUCCGGUGGCUUCCCUAAACUCCAAAACUCCCUCUCUCUAUCCCCCAAAAAUAUCUCUAACGGCCUAGCCUUUUUCCCACCACCCUACAGCUGCCAACCUUCACGGUUUUCAACUUUUUCUGCUGAAAGAAAUCUCCACGUGUCAAGCUUCCAUUGGCCAUCAAAAC
This 11110-nucleotide long non-coding RNA is filed under the name Vitis vinifera (wine grape). RNAcentral describes it as "long non-coding RNA (VVIN_LNC003818)". The record is from RNAcentral. Lineage: Eukaryota; Viridiplantae; Streptophyta; Magnoliopsida; Vitales; Vitaceae.